UAAAGUGGGUGGUGGAGUGACGAUGGGAUGUAGGGAGAAAAGUGAGACGUAGGAGAAAGCAAAUCAACUUUCGAGAACGAGGUGUGCCUCUUGUGCUGUGUCUCUUGUUUAUAAAGGAUCCAUGUGCUGUCUCGUGGCGGCAGGAAUCAGUGUGUAAUUAAGCUAAUCUAUGAAGAAAACCCCUCCAGAAAACUAUUGUAGAAGGAGCGUGCAAUGGUGAACAAGAGCUACGGAAGAUGAUGGAGCGUCAAAUUAAGAUUGGCCACCGCGGACAGGCAUCGACAGGAUAA
This 290-nucleotide long non-coding RNA is filed under the name Portunus trituberculatus (swimming crab). Its description in RNAcentral is "uncharacterized LOC123505030, transcript variant X1". The record is from RNAcentral. Lineage: Eukaryota; Metazoa; Arthropoda; Malacostraca; Decapoda; Portunidae.